GAUGAACGCUGGCGGCGUGCCUAAUACAUGCAAGUCGAGCGAACAGGCGAGGAGCUUGCUCCUCUGACGUUAGCGGCGGACGGGUGAGUAACACGUGGAUAACCUACCUAUAAGACUGGGAUAACUUCGGGAAACCGGAGCUAAUACCGGAUAAUAUAUUGAACCGCAUGGUUCAAUAGUGAAAGACGGUUUUGCUGUCACUUAUAGAUGGAUCCGCGCCGCAUUAGCUAGUUGGUAAGGUAACAGCUUACCAAGGCAACGAUGCGUAGCCGACCUGAGAGGGUGAUCGGCCACACUGGAACUGAGACACGGUCCAGACUCCUACGGGAGGCAGCAGUAGGGAAUCUUCCGCAAUGGGCGAAAGCCUGACGGAGCAACGCCGCGUGAGUGAUGAAGGUCUUCGGAUCGUAAAACUCUGUUAUUAGGGAAGAACAAAUGUGUAAGUAACUAUGCACGUCUUGACGGUACCUAAUCAGAAAGCCACGGCUAACUACGUG
RNAcentral lists this ribosomal RNA (497 nucleotides) under uncultured bacterium. RNAcentral's name for it is "partial 16S ribosomal RNA". It matches the Rfam family "Bacterial small subunit ribosomal RNA", at positions 28 to 507 of the family's 1533-position model. The record is from RNAcentral.